GAUGAACGCUGGCGGCGUGCCUAAUACAUGCAAGUCGAGCGAACAGACGAGGAGCUUGCUCCUCUGACGUUAGCGGCGGACGGGUGAGUAACACGUGGAUAACCUACCUAUAAGACUGGGAUAACUUCGGGAAACCGGAGCUAAUACCGGAUAAUAUAUUGAACCGCAUGGUUCAAUAGUGAAAGACGGUUUUGCUGUCACUUAUAGAUGGAUCCGCGCCGCAUUAGCUAGUUGGUAAGGUAACGGCUUACCAAGGCAACGAUGCGUAGCCGACCUGAGAGGGUGAGCGCCCACACGGAAACGGAGACCCGGCCCAGCCUCCUAGGGGGGGCAGAAGAGGGGAUUCUCCCGAAAGGGGCGAAAGCCUGACGGAGCAACGCGGGGUGAGUGAUGAAGUUCUUGGGAUCGAAAAACUUUUUUAUGGGGGAAAAAAAAAUGUGUAAGUAACUAGCCACGUCUUGACGGUACCUAACAAGAAAGCCCCGGCUAACUCCGUG
Molecule: ribosomal RNA, 497 nt
Filed under: uncultured bacterium
Lineage: Bacteria
Description: partial 16S ribosomal RNA
Rfam family: Bacterial small subunit ribosomal RNA
Source: RNAcentral